This 121-nucleotide ribosomal RNA is filed under the name Xenopus tropicalis (tropical clawed frog). Lineage: Eukaryota; Metazoa; Chordata; Amphibia; Anura; Pipidae. The record is from RNAcentral.
GCCUACGGCCAUACCACCCUGAAAGCGCCCGAUCUCGUCUGAAUCUCGGAAGCUAAGCAGGGAACGGGCUUGGUUAGUACCUGGAUGGGAGACCGCCUGGGAAUACAAGGUGUUGUAGGCU